GACGAACGCUGGCGGCGUGCUUAACACAUGCAAGUCGAGCGGUAAGGCUCCUUUGGGGGUACACGAGCGGCGAACGGGUGAGUAACACGUGAGUAAUCUGCCCUUCACUUCGGGAUAAGCACUCGAAAGGGUGUCUAAUACUGGAUACGACACGCUCACGCAUGUGAUGUGUGUGGAAACUUUUGUGGGUGGGGGAUGUGCUCGCGGCCUAUCAGCUUGUUGGUGGGGUAAUGGCCUACCAAGGCUUCGACGGGUAGCCGGCCUGAGAGGGUGACCGGUCACACUGGGACUGAGACACGGCCCAGACUCCUACGGGAGGCAGCAGUGGGGAAUAUUGGACAAUGGGCGGAAGCCUGAUCCAGCAACGCCGCGUGAGGGAUGACGGCCUUCGGGUUGUAAACCUCUUUCACCAGUGACGAAGCCUCAUGUUGAGUGGGGUGACGGUAGGUGGGGAAGAAGCACCGGCCAACUACGUGCCAGCAGCCGCAGUAAAAC
This 495-nucleotide ribosomal RNA is filed under the name uncultured bacterium. RNAcentral's name for it is "bacterial SSU rRNA". It matches the Rfam family "Bacterial small subunit ribosomal RNA", at positions 28 to 526 of the family's 1533-position model. The record is from RNAcentral.